This is a non-coding RNA of Misgurnus anguillicaudatus (oriental weatherfish), 6515 nucleotides long. The record is from RefSeq and is a predicted model, not a curated record. NCBI's taxonomy places the organism in Eukaryota, Metazoa, Chordata, Actinopteri, Cypriniformes, Cobitidae.
GCUCUCUCGUGUUGCACAGGUUUAUUGACGUUGUCCUCCAUUUUCUUUGCAAAACACUAGAUGCAGCGAUUGAAAGCGUGAACAUAUAGGUGCGUAAAAUUGCUGGGUAUUUUCUGUCUAGCUUUCGCACACCUACUGCACUUUCGGAAUUCUUUAUUUUCUUUUUCUGCUUGUUUGUGAGUUUUGUUACAUCUAUAUUUUUUACUGUUUAAUUAUUUUAAAAUUAAUAGUGUACAUAUUUGGUUAAAAUCGAUUGCCUAUUUUCGUUUUCAAAACUUUUUUUGGUUGGUCCGAUCGAUUGUGCAAUUGAUUUUCGAACGAAAAGUGACAGCCCUAAACAUAAGCAUUUCUUAUAAGACGAACUGUCCCUUUAACACCGGUGAAGAAGCGCUGAUUUAUACACCGACACAUAUGAUCAACUGCUCACUUAUAAUAAACGACUGUUUUUAUGAGAAUACUUUCAAACACUGUGGUAUUACAAUAUAGUUUGUGCGUAUAUACCCCCCCAAAAAUAUGCGUUUGUUUUGCGUGAUUUUUGAAACGCGCGUUGGCCGUGGGCUUUUGAGUUUGUGCGCGUACGUGCACUGAAAACAGUUCACUUUAGCAUCUUUGUCGCUCAAAUAGUCUAAAAUCGCUUAAAGGUUACUGUUAACUUUCUUAUUAACUGUAUUAGUAACAGUAUGUUCUUAUUACAGCAUUUCUAGGGCCCUAUAAAAUCCGUUUUAUUUUUUCCCAAAUUCCGUUUUAUUUUUUCCCAAAUUCCGUUUUCUCCGUUUUAAUUUUUGCAAAAUCCGUUUUAUCCGUUUUAAUUUUUGGCAAUUAUAUUUUUUACCCUUUACUUUUAUUUUAGUCAUAAAAAGAGUGUGCCUUUUAAUGUUAAUGAUUAAAAUGUAAAUGAUUUGGGGGAAAAACUGGAUAACAGGAUUACUUUUAAUGACUAUAAAAGAUGCAUUUACACACGCACAUACACACGCGCGCGCACGCGCACACACAACUCAAUUCAAUGCAUUGUUUUUUUUUAGUGUUGUUGCAGGAGGAGGCUACAACAAGGUGUCAACACAGUGGUGCCUUCAGAAGUGCCUUAAACACAUCAAUCCAGCGGAACGCGAUCCAUAUUUUAUACACAAUCGCUUGACAUGCAUAUAACUUUACAAACAUACACAGGAUAGUGAUCUGACUUAGGACAGCAUGAGCAUGCAGCUCUUUUCACGUGCGAGCGAAAGAGAGACAGAGAGCGGCGCCAUGAUGCAGAUGAUUAUAUUUUAAAUGCGAGGGAUAGUUAGUUUGCCUCAGCUCGCUUGAAAUGCAUAAAACUGAACAAACAUACACAGGAUAGUGAUCUGACUUAGGACAGCAUGAGCGCGCAGCUAUUUGCACGUGCGAGCGAAAGAGAGACAGAGAGCGGCGCCAUGAUGUAGAUGAUUAUAUUUUAAAUGCGAGGGAUAGUUAGUUUGCCUCAGCUCGCUUGAAAUGCAUAAAACUGAACAAAUACAUGAGGAUUUGUGUUAGCACUUCAGACACAUGCGUGAGCGCGUGCACAUGAGAGAGGUACAGUGAGACAGACAUGGAUGAGAGAGUUACAUGUAUCUUUGCGCUCACCAUGAACAGAGUGUUGACUAAACUUCCAAACUAACAGUUCUCCGGUCACAUUAAAGUCAUGUGAGACCUGCUCGGAACUAAGUGCUUAGCGUCGAAUUUCUUAAUUUUUUCGCUGACGAAAUCAGAGUCGUGGAGAGCCGCUUCGCCAUGGUUUCAGUGUUUUGGAGGAGGUCUGAAACGACGGGAGGGGGCGUGUCGCCCAGAUUUACUUCCCCCGGUCUGCAUUUCCCACAGACAUACGUUCGUCUCCCAUACAAAAACAUAAUUUUAUUCAAAAUAUGUAAAAUUCCGCGAAAUUCCGCGUUUAUACUAGAUUCCGUGUUAAUUAGCCAAUUCCGCGAUUCCGUCCGCGAUUCCGUGAUCGCGGAAAUUAUAGGGCCCUACAUUUCAUGCAAUAUUUUGCAGUUUCACCAUAUUUACAUUUAAGUACUUACAGCCGUAGACCAAUGUGACUUACAAGCGAGAAGUACGUCCAUAAUUCGUUCCAAAUCCAUUCCAACAAAAAAUCUUUUAGGUCACUUUGCAGGGUCAGUCUGUGUAGAUAUGUUGUUUUAAUUGGUUGAUGCCUUAGAAUUCUACAAUGAUAGUUUUACAGCAUUUUGUGUUGACUUUACAUCCCGAAGGCAGUCGCUCUACGCAUCUUCAACAAGCUUGUAUGACGAAGAACACAGACAUGCGGAUGACAUAACAGUAGCGCGAGAGCCGUUCGAAAGCAGACUUCCUUAUGACUUCUCGAUUCACUCUCGUGAUACUUUGAUGUCACCUGCCUGCCUGUCGGUUUUUGCAGCGCCGCAUGAACUCAAACAAAUCUAAUGUCUGGGAUACAUGUUUGGAUGACGGCGAAGGGCGCGUCUACAAACAACGCGCGCAUACCCCCCUCCCCCCCCAAAUUUUUUCUCAUCGAAUCUACAUGAUUCACGUGGGUCACCUUUUUUGGCUUUAAAACUGCGAAUUUCGCCGAAAGGUGAGGGAUUUUCAUGCCUGGGGUUUAAUGGUGCACUAGAAGAAUCCUUCCUAAAAUGCAUUAAACUUUCGUUUACAAAGACGUGAAACUCACCGAGUGGUCAGGGGUGUUCACUGAUAUGCUCACACAAAAAUCGCUGCAAAAGAUGCUUUCCAACAGCUGUUUUAGCAUUCUUUGUAACAUGUGGACCUAUUUUUCCAAACGCCUCACACCCGUACAUUCUUCCGCUUAGAGCUUGAAUAAUAGACACUCCAGCCCAGGUGGUGGCGCUAAUCUGCCAUUGCCAAUUGCAAGAAUAGAAACAAAGUUCCCGGCGCGGAGUAAUACCGUACCUCACAGUAGAGGUCUUCUCGGGUCCAAAGAAAGACCCGACCCGAGACAAACCCGAGAAAAUUAGACCCGAGUCCGACCCGAACUAGUGAAAUUUUUUUUUUAACCCGACUGGAACCAAAUGUAAACGGCACUGACGUGUGUGCAUUCUGCAGACCCACGCGCAGCAGUCAGACAGAAAGAAAGAAACUCCGGUGGCCUUGCAACCAAUUUGGCGAGCUGCUCCAUUCGUUUUACUUUGUUAUCUGACGACGACACCAACGUAACCGCUAAUAUGUACAUUUAUAAUUGACUGACAUGUUUGUCUCAACAAAAAUGAACCUUCCGACAACCACACAAUGUCGCAAGCACUCUUGGCAAACAGAUGAGAGGUUUGAAAAGGACAUUGACGCACACAGGCGAGAGAGUUCGGGUCCUCUCGGGUCCGUUCAGAAAAAACACAUUCAUUUUUAAAUUACCCGAGACCCGAUGCCGCUAUUAUUGUACCCGACCCGUGUCCGAGGCACAUGUGAAACUUUUAAAACCGUUCUAUUUCAUCAUAAACAAUCUGAAAACAAGGCUUUAAGUGUAAAAUACCGAACUUGUCCUUUAAAAGACAUUGUUUGGGUUACAGACCAGGGAGCAAAUGUAGUUAAUGCUCUCAGGUCAUACACGAGACAUGACUGCAUGGACCACGGCAUCAACACUGUCCUUCGCCAUGGCCUUGAUAAUGACGCACUGACACAAGUGGUCCCUGACUUCGCUGAAACAGUGACAGCAGCAAAGGUGCUUGUCAGGUAUAGUAGGGUAGAAAUGUUUUACUCUUAUAAUAUUAUUAGUAUCCAUUUAUUUUCCCAUUAGUAAAUUAUGGUAACGCUUUAUAAUACCACAUGCAAUAACGUAAAUAAACCGAAUUUACAGCGUACAAUGACAGUGCAUAAAGUGCUAAAAUGCUUGUAUUGACGCAUGUUGCAAAGUUUCUAUCUACCAAUAAUAAGAGCUAUUAAAUGAACAAAUAGCGUGCAGCUUUGUUGUCAUUAUUGUGUGAUUUCAAAUAAAAGUUUUUAACAAGAGUUUCAGAUUGCAAAGCAACACUUCAAAUAUGCCCACAAAUGUUACAGUUACCUGGUAAAUAGGGAAUAAGUUGCUAUUUUUAUUGUACUUGCCUUAAAACACAGAUUACCACAUUGAAUCAGCUGAACUUUUGCUAUUAAAAGCAUAUUAGUAAUAUAGGCUACUUAAAUAAAAGUGAUGUGCUGUUAUAUUUAUUUGCCGACGUGGCUCGUAGAUAUGACGAACGGUAUACAAUAUUUUUAUCAGGUAAGUAGCAAAUAUGAAAAUUCCCAAAAAAAUUCAAUAAAAUUUACCCAUAGACUUAAUUGCCUAAGGUCAUACAUAGCCUGCAACAUAAUAUUACAAUAGGUACCCUGUAAUAAAAUACUUAAAAUAACACUCUAAAAAUGGCUGGGUUAUUUUAUAGAGACUAAGACGACGGGUGUAAUUUGGAGGAAUGACGACUGUUACCUCAGAUCGCCAUUUACACAAAUUGACUCGAAUAAUCGUUCUAAGAUGUUUGAUAUGGCAUAUUAAUAAAAUAGAUGUUACAAAAUCCCCAUCUCACGUUUGAUUACGUUAAGUUAACUCAUGACAAUUUCUGUAAGCCUUUAACAAAGCCAGUCAAACCCGGUACCGAGUCGACCUCCGCAACCCCACUUCGGCUUCUUGUGUCACACACGCGCAGUUUUCCCUUUCCCAGCUUAACAAGCGAUAGCGACGCUGUUAAAUUAAAUUUAGCGACAAACGAGUUGCUUUCUUGUCAUUCGAUAUGUAAAGACAGACCGCGAGGCGCGGGCACAUGUUAACCGGCGGCGGAGGAUCACGGAGCCGGCGUCUACGCUGUCUGUCUGAGGCAGGGACAGAAGCAGCACAUUCACUUCACCGUCGGUACGGCAGAGUGUGCAGAGUUUUUAUGUCCAUCCAUUGAUGAGGCUUGCACAACUUCAUCCAAUUGCAACAAAUGUGGUGGAAUUUCUUCUCUGGACAGAAUCCUCGAAACCCUUUCCUUUCGUCCUGGCCAUGGGAAAGAUGCAGCAGAUCUCUCAAUCUUUUUUCUCAAUCAGUCUCUCUGAAUACGGAAGUGACUUAAACUGCAAUUCGGCCAAGAUGGCGACGGCACGCACCGCCUACUUUAAGCUUCAAAAAUGCUCUUCACAAACGAAUAGGUGACGUCACGGACACUACUUGCAUAUUUUUACAGUCUCUGGUUAAAAGGCAUUUUAAGUGCUUGAAAAUAAAUACCCCAGGCAAUAUGCUUUAUGGGAAUUCCUGUAGUCUGUCAUUUUUCAAAUGGAUGAAUCCUCUCCUGUUCGAUUCCUUUGUACAUCUUUGUUCGCGACGAGUAACUUUAAUAAAUGAAGUAUUUUUAGUCAAAUACAUUCCAUUCUGUGAAACUUAAAACAUUUGUUCUUUAAAAAAAACUUUACACAUCUAUGAAUGAUUUUACUUUUAAUUUAACAAUUACAUUGUUUCUUUUCUUACACUGCUGUAGUUUUGUUUAUGUACAUUUCAGUAUUUCAUAUAUUGUAAAAUUACAAAUUCUGUCUUAAAUUCAAACGAAUUGAUUCAACCUGUUACAUUGUUACUUCAAUGUGCAUAAUUUAUGAUAUUUUAUAAAUAUAUUUAUACUUGGGUCAGUAAGCAGUCCUUUAAAUGAUUUUGCAACUUACAACUGUAAAAAUGUAAGAGUUUGUAGUUAUUUUGCAGUCAAAUAAACAUUUAUUUGCUGUUAACAAUGGUCUUGAUUUACAAUAAAGCACAUGAUAAAAAUAACCCAGCAAGAAUAACCCAAAACCCAGAAUAUUAAUCCCAUAAAUGGUUAAAAUGACUACAUGUUGGGUUUUCUCAACAACCCAACCUGCUGGGUUAAAAUGUGUUACCCAACGUGUUGGGUUACUUUAACCCAGCAUGUGUUCUGUCCAAUAUUUACCCAGCGCUGGGUUGCCAAUUGGGUUGUUUUUAACCCAACCAUUUUUAGAGUGAAUGUAUAAUUUUCCAUAUUUUACCCCCUUAUAACCCAAAACUUAACAUAUGUUAUAUAUACAUAUAUACAUACAUACAAGUACGUACGUAGAGGUACUCUGUUGUUACAAAUGGGUACGCAGUUCAUUGGGUUUAAUUAUGCGGUACAUUGCUGGUCCUAAUAUAAAGUGUUACCUAAACUAUUAAUAUAACAUGCGUCUUUAGUUUGUGUUUGAUUAUCACUACUAGGUUACUCAUUUGUGUAACAGCGGCCCUCUCUUAUUGUCUCUACAGAUAUGUAAAGCAGCCGGGAAUGACAGCGCAGCUCUCAAAGACCAUCCUGCAGAUGGUAGAUACACACUUCAGCACUGUGAAUUUGACCCUUAAAUCCAUCAGUGACAUUUACGCAGAGCUGCAGGACAAACUUGAAGUGCAUGGAGAGAGUGACAUGAUUGAAAAAAAAUCCCCUGACACUUUGGGCAUGCUGGUGUCAUUUUUAAAGCCCUUUUAUGAUGCUCAGCGUGAACUGGAGGGGGACAGAUAUCCCGCACUGCAUCUUGCGUAGCUAUGGGUAGAGCGACUCCAACACCACUGCCAACAAAAUGCCAAUGAUACUGCCCAGCUG